AAGUCGUAACAAGGUUUCCGUAGGUGAACCUGCGGAAGGAUCAUUAACACGUAUCCAACGUUAAACCCCCCGUGCACCUUAACGCCAGCACUCCAAGCCUUGAUAAGCAAUCUCUGGUAAAUCAUCGCCAAAACGGUUUUUGAUUCAGAGACUUCUUAAAGACGUGCGGAUUGUGCGGCUCGAACAGCCGAGGUUUCCAGAAAGCACACGAGAAUGAGUGAAAGUGUCAUUGUAGUGUGUUUGAUAGGAUAACUCCGUAAAAAAGAGAUCGUUGACCCUCACGGUCCUCGGACUUGGCUGGCUUCGGCCCCUUUAUUAACCACCCCUGUAUGUGAAAGUCGGGCUUGCAAACUACAGGCCCACAAAACGAACAACUGUUAACAAUGGAUAUCUUGGUUCUC
This 401-nucleotide unclassified non-coding RNA is filed under the name fungal sp. RNAcentral describes it as "partial internal transcribed spacer region". The stretch from base 1 to 46 matches the Rfam family "Eukaryotic small subunit ribosomal RNA", at positions 1786 to 1831 of the family's 1831-position model. The record is from RNAcentral. Lineage: Eukaryota; Fungi.